UACGAAGGGGGCUAGCGUUGUUCGGAAUCACUGGGCGUAAAGCGCACGUAGGCGGCUUGUUAAGUCAGAGGUGAAAGCCUGGAGCUCAACUCCAGAACUGCCUUUGAUACUGGCAAGCUCGAGGAUGGCAGAGGUUGGUGGAACUCCGAGUGUAGAGGUGAAAUUCGUAGAUAUUCGGAAGAACACCAGUGGCGAAGGCGGCCAACUGGGCCAUUACUGACGCUGAGGUGCAAAAGCGUGGGGAGCAAACAGU
This 253-nucleotide ribosomal RNA is filed under the name uncultured bacterium. Its description in RNAcentral is "partial 16S ribosomal RNA". It matches the Rfam family "Bacterial small subunit ribosomal RNA", at positions 524 to 776 of the family's 1533-position model. The record is from RNAcentral.